This 576-nucleotide long non-coding RNA is filed under the name Vigna radiata. RNAcentral's name for it is "long non-coding RNA (VRAD_LNC001819)". The record is from RNAcentral. Lineage: Eukaryota; Viridiplantae; Streptophyta; Magnoliopsida; Fabales; Fabaceae.
UAUGUUUCCAAACAUCAAAAAUGAAAUGCAAGAAGAAAGGGUUCAAAACUCAAAACACCAACACAUCACUUAAGCUCCUUUCAACCCAAAACUCACAUAGGACUCCAUUUUUAUCAUUCAAUCCAAGAAAACUUAAAUAAAAUAGAAAAUACUACAGCAAAUGGAGAGGAAAACGGAAAUACAACUUCAUUCAAACCAAAGACCCACCAUGAAAAUGCAAGAGAAACCCUUCAAGCUCAUGCUUCCAACUUCAAAGAACAAGAAAUAGAAUGGGGAAUGGGACGGUUUUGCAUCACCAACAAGCAAAGAUAAUCAAGAUUGAGGCAAGAGAAGAAGAAAAACAUUGUCUUGUUCAUUCCAUAGCUCAAAGAAAAUGAAACCCUACAAGCUUCCAAGGAGGAAGUUCAUGAGACCAUGCAAAGUGUGAGAAUGUAAGAGCCUAGGAGAGUGUGGUCGGCUAUUCCUCUCCAAAUACCNUCCAAGCCUCUAAAAUUGGUGGGGUCCACCUCUAAGAAACCCUAGGGUUUGGUGCCACAUGUCCCACACAUGGGUUUUUUACAAAAAUGCCCCUAAAAG